CCUACGGGGUGCAGCAGUGGGGAAUAUUGGUCAAUGGGCGCAAGCCUGACCCAGCAACGCCGCGUGAAGGAAGAAUGCUUUCGGGUUGUAAACUUCUUUUAAGAGGGAAGAGCAGAAGACGGUACCUCUUGAAUAAGCCACGUCUAACUACGUGCCAGCAGCUGCGGUAAUACGUAGGUGGCAAGCGUUGUCCGGAUUUACUGGGUUGAAAGGGCGUGUAGCCGGGCUGACAAGUCAGAUGUGAAAUCCGGGGGCUCAACCCCCGAAUUGCAUUUGAAACUGUUGGUCGUGAGUAUCGGAGAGGCAGGCGGAAUUCCUAGUGUAGCGGUGAAAUGCGUAGAUAUUAGGAGGAACACCAGUGGCGAAGGCGGCCUGCUGGACGACAACUGACGGUGAGGCGCGAAAGCGUGGGGAGCAAACAGGAUUAGAUACCCUUGUAGUC
RNAcentral lists this ribosomal RNA (442 nucleotides) under uncultured bacterium. RNAcentral's name for it is "partial 16S ribosomal RNA". It matches the Rfam family "Bacterial small subunit ribosomal RNA", at positions 338 to 795 of the family's 1533-position model. The record is from RNAcentral.